RNAcentral lists this long non-coding RNA (1819 nucleotides) under Octopus vulgaris (common octopus). The record is from RNAcentral. Lineage: Eukaryota; Metazoa; Mollusca; Cephalopoda; Octopoda; Octopodidae.
GUUGCUUUGGUGGAGAUUUGCACUCUCUGAGUGCUCUUGUUAUUGUUAUUAUUAUUAUUACUAUUAUCAUUUACAUAUGUAUCACUCAAGCACCUUAACAAUUAUAACAUUUCCAUCUAAUUACAAGUGUGUAUCCUGUGGGGCACGCUACUGUUGUACAAAGUGUCUUGGAACACAUCAAGACACACGGUGAGUUUCAUCAGGUUUAAUUUCUUCUUUUUUCUGUAAUUCGUCUCUCUUUCGCUAUAUACGUGUGUGUAUAUAUGUAUAUAUAUGUAUAUCUAUGUGUGUGUUCAUUCAUCAUCAUUGUCAUCAUUGUUUAACAUCCACUUUCCAUGGACAGUUUGACAGGAACUGUCCAGGCAGAAGACUGCACUAUACUUCUGUGUCUGUUUUGGCAUGGUUUUAAUGGCUAGAUGCCCUUCCUGACACCACCCACCUCGCAGAGUGGACUGAGUGCUUUUCCUGUGGCUCCAGCACGGGCUUAUAUGUCCGCCAGACUGAUAAGUGAUUUGGUGUCUGGCUGGUUUUCUGAAGUUUGUGUUGCAGAUCUUGAGAUCAAUUGCAUCACAGGAUUCCAGUAGCCUUGUUCCCUCCUCAUUCCUGGGGCCAAAGCCAAUACCAUCAUGCACACCAUGGAAUCCAUGAGAAUGCUGCCCAAUGUGUCCCUGCCACAAUAACAUCUCUGUCAUUUCUUGUUGAGGUAACAUGCAGAAGGACCUCGGAAAAUUGGUCCUCAACCAACUCAGACUGUGGGGCAUAGGCAGAAAUAAAUGUAACUAUUAAUUUAUCUCUGAUAAGUCUCAGCUUGAUUGCCCUAUCACAUACUCUGACUACUUCAAUUAUCUUAUCUUCCCACUUUUCUACUAAGAGUAUUCCUACACAACCCACUGCAUUAUUUCUACCUUCCCAAUUUUGAGGGGAGGGGUUAAGUCAAUUACAUUAACUUUAGUGCUCGUAUGAUACUUAUUUUAUUGAUCCUGAAAGGAUGAAAGGCAAAGUCAACCUCAGCAGGAUUUGAACUCAGAACAUAAAGACAGAUGAAAUACCAUUAAGUAGUUUUUCUGGUCUGCUAACGAUUCUGCCAGCUCGCUGCUUUAUUUCUAAAUUGAUAUUAAAAAAUACUAUCUUUAGUUUAAAAAUCUAGGUAGGUGGGUAGGCAGGUGGGUGCAAAUCUCGUUGAGUGCUAUGUCUACAUCUAAGGCUAUGACAGCUGAAGGUGAUCAAAGAGUAAACCAUUCAAAAUGAAGAGGUGUAAAUAUUUGUAAAAUACACAUUCUAAGGAUGAAGUUAAUUAAAAGUUUGAUGGGAAAUUAUGAUUGAACUUGUAAUUUAAUUUUAUUUUCUUACUCAUUUAGAUGUCUAAAAUAUACUGCCUGAUGAGCUGAUGAUGAUGAUGAUGAUGAUGAUGAUGAUGAUGAUGAUGAUGAUGAUGAUCAGAAGGAGUCAUAUUUAAAAGUGUCAUGUGAAGCCACUGGAGUAAAAUGUAACAGAACAACAUGACCAACAGAUCCACAGUUCAUUCCGUUUACCUGCACAAGUCAGGUGAAAGAAAAAAAGAAGAGGAAUAAACAACAGAAUUGGUGGUUUUUAUUACAAGCUACUUUUGCUGUUUGAAAUGUGAUGAAAAUAUCAGACAAAACAGCAAAAUGUGACAUUGUUACCGUUUCAUACUAAACACAAUUAGUGAUGGAAAAGUAACGAGAAACAGUUUUUUUAAUCUAAAGUUGGAAUCUGUCUGACAUUGUAAAUAACAGCUUUUUCUUUUUUCUUUUUUCUUUUUCAAUAAACCAAAUAAUCUUAAAAGAUUCUCAAUGAC